Molecule: non-coding RNA, 1017 nt
Organism: Oryctolagus cuniculus (rabbit)
Lineage: Eukaryota; Metazoa; Chordata; Mammalia; Lagomorpha; Leporidae
Source: RefSeq, a predicted model, not a curated record
UUUCAAGACCCCAGCCCUCCCGGCCACUUGUCUGCCUCGGGGCCUUGCCGUAAUGGCGAGGGUGGUGGCUACCACCACGUCGAUGCGGUCCACUGAGAAGGGAUUGAACUGCUUGUCCGGCCGGCGCAUGAACUCGUGCUUGAGGAGGCAGAAGACAAACUUUCAACUUGAAUAUAAGCAAACAAACAGAGCCCCAACAUGGUAAGAAGCAAAAACUGGUAGAACUGGAGGGAGAAGCAGGGGAUUCUACAGUAAUAAUGGGAAACACCCAAGGCAUAAAGACCAAAACAAAGAUAAAUCAGAUGUCGUCAGAAUUGGAAGCCUUUGUGUUCCAAAGAACCACAUCAAGAAAGUGAAACAUAGAAAAAGUAACCAUAGAAUGGUUAUUUGCAAAUUAGGUAUCUGAUAGAGAGAGCAGUACAGACAAACCCACCGAAAGAAGGGCAAUGGAUUGGAGUAGACAGCUCUGCACAGAAGCAACACAAAUGACCAGCAAGCACGUGACAGAUGUCAAUAUCACCAGUGAUUAGGGAAAUGCAAAUCAAAACCACAGCGAGAUCUCACUUUCCCCUCGCUGCCCCGGCUGAAACAGCAGGCAGAGAGCAACAAGUGUCGGCAGCGUGUGUGAACGCUGGGCCUCCCAUCCCACACUGCUGGGGUUGUAACACGAUGUGGUCGCCUGGCAGUUCCUCCAAAUGUUAAAUAUAGAGUCGCCACAUGACCCCAAAACUUCACCCCUAGAUGUGUAUCCGGGAGAACUGAAAACAUGUCCACACCGAAUGACGUCCACAAAUAGUCACAGCAGCUGUAUCCAGAACAGCCAGAGUGGAAAAAUCCCCAACUCUGACAAUGCAAAGGAAUGAAGUGCUAACCCAUGCCACGACAUGGAUGAGCUGUGACGACGUCACACUGACAGUGAAGCCUCAACUCAGACGGCAGUAACCCGUGGUCCCCUUUACGUGCAGUGUCUGGAACAGACACUUCUCUAGCAAUAAAACCCAGAGUAAGUUAGCAGUG